Molecule: transfer RNA, 77 nt
Filed under: Candidatus Spechtbacteria bacterium RIFCSPHIGHO2_02_FULL_43_15b
Lineage: Bacteria; Candidatus Spechtiibacteriota
Description: tRNA-Ile
Rfam family: tRNA
About the family: Transfer RNA (tRNA) molecules are approximately 80 nucleotides in length.
Source: RNAcentral
GGGCAUGUAGCUCAAUUGGCUAGAGCUUUCGGCUUAUACCCGAAUGGUUCCUGGUUCGAGUCCAGGCAUGCCCACCA